UACAGAGGUCUCAAGCGUUGUUCGGAUUCAUUGGGCGUAAAGGGUGCGUAGGCGGCGCGGUAAGUCGGGUGUGAAAUCUCGGAGCUUAACUCCGAAACUGCAUUCGAUACUGCCGUGCUUGAGGACUGGAGAGGAGACUGGAAUUUACGGUGUAGCGGUGAAAUGCGUAGAUAUCGUAAGGAAGACCAGUGGCGAAGGCGGGUCUCUGGACAGUUCCUGACGCUGAGGCACGAAGGUCAGGGGAGCGAAA
Molecule: ribosomal RNA, 250 nt
Filed under: uncultured bacterium
Lineage: Bacteria
Description: partial 16S ribosomal RNA
Rfam family: Bacterial small subunit ribosomal RNA
Source: RNAcentral